CUGGCACACUGGUGUGUCAAACUGGAUUGCAUUCCCCUGCUGGUUUCAUGUGUAAUUUGAGAAAAUGUCUUAAUGAUUGCUAUCUCUCCAGUAGCUACGGGAGAUAAAUAUGAAAAAUCAGAUUGAGAAUGCUUCAUCAGGAAAAGAAGUUGAAUUUUGUGGAUGGCUGUGAUGGUUUAAAGCGAGUUUGAUGGCUGCACCGGUUGGGACUGCUCCCUCUAGAAGUACUUCUGUUCACACAGAACCUAGUUCUACCAGGGAAUCUCACCUGCUCCUCUCCCCGGAUUACGCUGGUUUUGGUCCUUUAUCUUAAAAUUCCUUCUGUUGUUUUCUGCUUUCUUUGUCAUCAGUGGCAUUGGCGG
Molecule: long non-coding RNA, 362 nt
Organism: Microtus oregoni (creeping vole)
Lineage: Eukaryota; Metazoa; Chordata; Mammalia; Rodentia; Cricetidae
Exons: 3
Source: RefSeq, a predicted model, not a curated record